RNAcentral lists this ribosomal RNA (447 nucleotides) under uncultured bacterium. RNAcentral describes it as "bacterial SSU rRNA". It matches the Rfam family "Bacterial small subunit ribosomal RNA", at positions 355 to 825 of the family's 1533-position model. The record is from RNAcentral.
UCGGGAAUUUUGGGCAAUGGGGGAAACCCUGACCCAGCAACGCCGCGUGAAGGAUGAAGUAUUUCGGUAUGUAAACUUCGAAAGAAUAGGAAGAAUAAAUGACGGUACUAUUUAUAAGGUCCGGCUAACUACGUGCCAGCAGCCGCGGUAAUACGUAGGGACCAAGCGUUGUUCGGAUUUACUGGGCGUAAAGGGCGCGUAGGCGGCAUGACAAGUCACUUGUGAAAUCUCUGGGCUUAACCCAGAACGGCCAAGCGAUACUGUCGCGCUAGAGUGCAGAAGGGGCAAUCGGAAUUCUUGGUGUAGCGGUGAAAUGCGUAGAUAUCAAGAGGAACACCUGAGGUGAAGACGGGUUGCUGGGCUGACACUGACGCUGAGGCGCGAAAGCCAGGGGAGCAAACGGGAUUAGAUACCCCUGUAGUCCCUGAGCGGGCUGGCAAGGCGCAU